Molecule: ribosomal RNA, 497 nt
Filed under: Streptomyces kunmingensis
Lineage: Bacteria; Bacillati; Actinomycetota; Actinomycetes; Kitasatosporales; Streptomycetaceae
Description: bacterial SSU rRNA
Rfam family: Bacterial small subunit ribosomal RNA
Source: RNAcentral
GUGGGGAUUAGUGGCGAACGGGUGAGUAACACGUGGGCAAUCUGCCCUUCACUCUGGGACAAGCCCUGGAAACGGGGUCUAAUACCGGAUAACACUUCCCUCCUCCUGGAGGGUGGUUAAAAGCUCCGGCGGUGAAGGAUGAGCCCGCGGCCUAUCAGCUUGUUGGUGAGGUAAUGGCUCACCAAGGCGACGACGGGUAGCCGGCCUGAGAGGGCGACCGGCCACACUGGGACUGAGACACGGCCCAGACUCCUACGGGAGGCAGCAGUGGGGAAUAUUGCACAAUGGGCGAAAGCCUGAUGCAGCGACGCCGCGUGAGGGAUGACGGCCUUCGGGUUGUAAACCUCUUUCAGCAGGGAAGAAGCGAAAGUGACGGUACCUGCAGAAGAAGCGYYKKYUWACUACGUGCCAGCAGCCGCGGUAAUACGUAGGGCGCAAGCGUUGUCCGGAAUUAUUGGGCGUAAAGAGCUCGUAGGCGGCUUGUCACGUCGGUUGUG